Long non-coding RNA from Phaethon lepturus (White-tailed tropicbird), 736 nucleotides. RefSeq lists it as uncharacterized. Lineage: Eukaryota; Metazoa; Chordata; Aves; Phaethontiformes; Phaethontidae. The transcript is spliced from 2 exons. The record is from RefSeq and is a predicted model, not a curated record.
AAAAAUAAAAAUUGGCCGCUGCUGUUCACGUUAGCAAAAAUUACUAAUAUUACUAAUGUCUCUUGUUUGUAGAUCACCUCUCUUGUGACUCUCCAGCUGUUAUCCGUGGUUGGCCAUAAUGACCAGCUUGAUGGACCACGGUAUAAAUGUACUGUAUCUCUGGACUUCAUCAGAGCCAUUGCCCGGACCGUGAACUUCGACAUAAUAAAGUACUUGUACGAUUUCUUGUGAAAACAAGCUUCGCGGCCAUAUGGACACUGUGACAAUGACUAAGGCAAGCUGUGUUCAUCUCUCUACUUAGCUGGCCAGAAAGAAGAGUAUUUUGGCUCUCUUGGAUUUGUCCAAACAGGUGCUGGCCCAGCAUGGAUCCUGAUGAAAAUACUCUGAUUGGUCUGGGUGGAUCUGAGCAGAGGACUAUUUACCAGGGACCCUGGAGUAUUUGGAAGCAAUGUGUUAAUUAUAAACAGCAGGGUUUGAGCACAAUCUGUUCUACUCCUAAUGAUGUUAUCUUAACACUGAAAUUGCCUGAAACCCAUUUACUUAGGACUGCAUUUUGCUCUAUGAACUCUCCCCAGUGCUUUGAACAUGGCAGCAGCCCUUGUUUGUAUGCCCAGUCUUUUCACUUCCUCUCCACAGGAAUCUUUGCAAUUGCCUGCCAAAGCAGCUUUUCCUGAGGCCACCAUUUUAGGAGAGUGGAGCAGCAAAAUAUAAUAAACAUAAGAACAUAUUUAAAAUC